This 301-nucleotide ribosomal RNA is filed under the name uncultured bacterium. RNAcentral describes it as "partial 16S ribosomal RNA". It matches the Rfam family "Bacterial small subunit ribosomal RNA", at positions 509 to 807 of the family's 1533-position model. The record is from RNAcentral.
CAGCCGCCGCGGUAACACAGAGGGUGCGAGCGUUAAUCGGAUUUACUGGGCGUAAAGCGUGCGUAGGCGGCUAAUUGAGUCGGAUGUGAAAUCCCCGAGCUUAACUUGGGAAUUGCAUUCGAUACUGGUUAGCUAGAGUGUGGGAGAGGAUGGUAGAAUUCCAGGUGUAGCGGUGAAAUGCGUAGAGAUCUGGAGGAAUACCGAUGGCGAAGGCAGCCAUCUGGCCUAACACUGACGCUGAGGUACGAAAGCAUGGGGAGCAAACAGGAUUAGAUACCCGUGUAGUCCCUGUCUCUUAUAC